Molecule: ribosomal RNA, 963 nt
Filed under: Triticum aestivum (bread wheat)
Lineage: Eukaryota; Viridiplantae; Streptophyta; Magnoliopsida; Poales; Poaceae
Description: partial small subunit ribosomal RNA
Source: RNAcentral
AUGGGUCCUUGCAUUGCCUCUGACCAUGUCCCCAUCAACAUCAAAAUUGGCUCAUCUAUACCCAGAUCUAAUAUUUUCAGAUUUGAAAACUACUGGCUACAACAUUCUCAGUUUAAAGAUGUAGUCAAAUCUAUCUGGUCACAAGAAGUGAAUGAAAUUGAUAGUGCAAAAGUUAUUGCAGCCAAAUUUAAAAGACUGAGAAAAGGGCUUAAAAUAUGGGCAAGGAAAAUAUCACACUUGAGGAACACAAUUGUAGGUACAAACUUCCUUAUCCUGUGCUAUGACUAUUUUGAAGAAUUCAGGCCACUCUCCAUAGAGGAAUCAACUGGGAGGAGGAUACUAAAAGAUCAUCUUGCACAGUUACUUGAGCAUCAGAGGAUUUAUUGGAAACAGAGAGCUACCAUAAGACAAAUCAAGAUGGUAGAGGCCAACACCAAAUACUUCCAAGCAAAAGCCACAAUCAAAUACAGAAAUAAUUGUAUUGCUAUGCUCAGGGAUGAAACAGGAAUAGAGCACCAUGAUCACCAGGCCCAAGUUGCUAUUCUUUUCAGAGCCUUCAAAGACAGAUUGGGUACUUGCAUCCCUUAUGAUAACCCACUCAAUCUACAUGAUCUUAUACUCUCUUCAGUUGAUCUAUCUGAAUUGGAAGUCCCAUUCACCAAUAAGGAGAUUGACAAUGUGAUCAUGCAUAUGCCAUCAGAUAAAUCACCUGGGCCAGAUGGUUUUAAUGCAGCUUUCCUCAAAGCUUGUUGGGAUAUUAUUGCCAAUGACUUUUAUAGACUCAUUCAUGAUUUUUACUCUGGCAAUGUCAAUAUUCAAAGCAUCGACUACUCCUUCAUUACUCUAAUCCCCAAAGUUGAUGCUGCAACUAGCCCAGCAGAGUUCAGACCUAUGUCUCUAGUCAAUUACACACUCAAGAUAUCACUAAGCUUCUGGCCAAUAGAUUACAGAAAGUUAUCCUGA